GAUGAACGCUGGCGGCGUGCCUAAUACAUGCAAGUCGAGCGAACAGACGAGGAGCUUGCUCCUCUGACGUUAGCGGCGGACGGGUGAGUAACACGUGGAUAACCUACCUAUAAGACUGGGAUAACUUCGGGAAACCGGAGCUAAUACCGGAUAAUAUAUUGAACCGCAUGGUUCAAUAGUGAAAGACGGUUUUGCUGUCACUUAUAGAUGGAUCCGCGCCGCAUUAGCUAGUUGGUAAGGUAACGGCUUACCAAGGCAACGAUGCGUAGCCGACCUGAGAGGGUGACAGGCCACACGGGAACUGAGACACGGUCCAGACUCCUACGGGAGGCAGCAGUAGGGAAUCUUCCGCAAUGGGCGAAAGCCUGACGGAGCAACGCCGCGUGAAUGAUGAAGGUCUUCGGAUCGUAAAACUCUGUUAUUAGGGAAGAACAAAUGUGUAAGUAACUAUGCACGUCUUGACGGUACCUAAUCAGAAAGCCACGGCUAACUACGUG
This 497-nucleotide ribosomal RNA is filed under the name uncultured bacterium. RNAcentral describes it as "partial 16S ribosomal RNA". It matches the Rfam family "Bacterial small subunit ribosomal RNA", at positions 28 to 507 of the family's 1533-position model. The record is from RNAcentral.